This is a long non-coding RNA of Solanum pennellii, 1112 nucleotides long. RefSeq lists it as uncharacterized. The transcript is spliced from 2 exons. Lineage: Eukaryota; Viridiplantae; Streptophyta; Magnoliopsida; Solanales; Solanaceae. The record is from RefSeq and is a predicted model, not a curated record.
CUCGUAUAUCAAAUAUCUAUGGGCCAUUAUUAGUGGUAUAUCCCCUUAGCAUCUCUUCUUCCCAACAUAGCUGAUCCGAUUGAACUCUCUCUGUUUUUCUAAACAAAAAUCUCUUGAAAAACACCAAAAUCUGCGAAAUCCAUGCCAAUUCCGAUUCAAAAUCAAGAAACUAAGCCGAAAAAAUUGAUUUCCCUAUUCAUAAAAUGUGUAAUCAUGGCUUUAAUCCUCUCCCUUUUCUUGAUUUUCCUUCUUUUCCUUGGUUUCGCCGCGCUUGUACUCCUCCACUUCUUAAUCACAUCAACAGCCUUCCGCCGACGUCAUCGACGUCGCCACCACCAUCGAUUUCCGGCGAACCCAACAUCAUCGUUUGAUUUGCCUUGUGUUAGUUAUUGUGGGUCACAGCAAUCUGUUAGGGAUUGUGCGAUUUGCUUGGAGGGAUUUAAGGAUGGAGAAAUUUGCAGGAAAUUACCUGAUUGUGGACACCUUUUUCAUGUGAAAUGUGUGGAUUCCUGGCUUAUUAGGGUUCUGAAUUGCCCGAUUUGUCGGACCCGGGUUCGGGUUGAUUUGGGAAAUUCGGGUUCUGUUAUCAGUGAUGAAGAUUGGAAGAGAUGGUGGGCUGUUGGUGUUUCAGGGUAGCUGCUUUUUUGCUGAAAUUUCUGCAUUUUGUGGUUGAAUUGAACCGAGAAAUCACAAAAUCGCACACAAACUAGUACAAGUUGGAGGAGCUAACGAUUUGCUGAUAUCAAGAGGAGAAAGAUGGAGUGGAAAGAUUUUCUUAACGUGGACUUACGGAGGUUUACAACAUGAACGGUAGCUUUCUUUUAGUGUAGUUUCUUCCCAAAUUACUGAUUUGGAGAUAUGAUCAUAUGUAUAAAUAUAAAUGCGUACCCAUUCUAGCGGUUUGCAUAACAUAAAAUUUUUGCCUUAAAACUGUGUAUUGUACAUGAAUGAGUUUCGCGCUUUUUCUUGAAUGUGUAACUCUGUAAUGCAUAGUGUCUCUUAAUUGAGUAAUGCAUCUCUGUUGUACAAAUGUUUAGUGGGAGAAAUGAACAUUUAACUGUUCAAUCUUUCGUUCAAAGGGCGUGAAUGAACCUUCAUAUCGUUUAUUAUCA